UAGUUUCCUAUUCUAUUUAGGAUUGUUUUUAGUUUUCCUAUUUUAUUAGGAUAAGUUAUCUUCCUAUUUUAUCUAGACUUCAUUUAGGUUUAUCUGAACCCAUUUAUUCUAUGUAUUUGAGUUAGUUUUUCAGAUUUAAUAAUUAAAAUUUCCAGUAGAGAUUUUCCCUCAAUUUUCACUCUUGUAUGUGAUUGAGUUCUUUCCUGUGAGCUUCAGGCUGCGUCGUUACAAAAGAACAAAAUUGACAAAAAUAUCAUGAAACAGAUUAAUAAGGGGCUAGAAAUUGCAAAAAUAUUACUAUGUUUCAAUUAGUUUCCUUUCAUUAUAGUUUCCUCAUAACAUGCAUACUCCUUGCAUAUUGUUACAGUAAUCCUAAUUCCCACCAUUUAGAUGAGAUGGGUUUUCAUAUGACCACCCCACAAGCAGCAAUUAUAGUAUUCAAACAACUGCACACCAAAGAAAACUAAAUGCAUACAUACCAUGUUCCUGA
RNAcentral lists this unclassified non-coding RNA (490 nucleotides) under Hevea brasiliensis (rubber tree). The record is from RNAcentral. Lineage: Eukaryota; Viridiplantae; Streptophyta; Magnoliopsida; Malpighiales; Euphorbiaceae.